GAGUUUGAUCCUGGCUCAGGAUGAACGCUGGCGGCGUGCUUAACACAUGCAAGUCGAACGGACCCAUAUUGAAACCUAGUGAUAUAUGGGUUAGUGGCGGACGGGUGAGUAACGCGUGGGUAACCUGCCUUACACAGGGGGAUAACACUUAGAAAUAGGUGCUAAUACCGCAUAAGCGCACGGUUCCGCAUGGAACAGUGUGAAAAACUCCGGUGGUAUACGAUGGAUCCGCGUCUGAUUAGCCAGUUGGCGGGGUAACGGCCCACCAAAGCGACGAUCAGUAGCCGGCCUGAGAGGGUGAACGGCCACAUUGGGACUGAGACACGGCCCAAACUCCUACGGGAGGCAGCAGUGGGGAAUAUUGCACAAUGGGGGAAACCCUGAUGCAGCGACGCCGCGUGAGUGAAGAAGUAUUUCGGUACGUAAAGCUCUAUCAGCAGGGAAGAAAAAAAGUCCUUUGGACUUUGGACGGUACCUGACCAAGAAGCCCCGGCUAACUACGUGCCAGCAGCCGCGGUAAUACGUAGGGGGCAAGCGUUAUCCGGAUUUACUGGGUGUAAAGGGAGCGUAGACGGCAGCGCAAGUCUGGAGUGAAAUGCCGGGGCCCAACCCCGGAACUGCUUUGGAAACUGUGCAGCUCGAGUGCAGGAGAGGUAAGCGGAAUUCCUAGUGUAGCGGUGAAAUGCGUAGAUAUUAGGAGGAACACCAGUGGCGAAGGCGGCUUACUGGACUGUAACUGACGUUGAGGCUCGAAAGCGUGGGGAGCAAACAGGAUUAGAUACCCUGGUAGUCCACGCCGUAAACGAUGAUUACUAGGUGUCGGGGGGCCAAGGCCCUCCGGUGCCGCCGCAAACGCAUUAAGUAAUCCACCUGGGGAGUACGUUCGCAAGAAUGAAACUCAAAGGAAUUGACGG
Molecule: ribosomal RNA, 914 nt
Filed under: uncultured bacterium
Lineage: Bacteria
Description: bacterial SSU rRNA
Rfam family: Bacterial small subunit ribosomal RNA
Source: RNAcentral